UACGCAAACAAAACCAUCACAUAUUGCAAUAGAUUCAAGAUAUCUCUGAAAUACGCAAACAAAACCAUCACAUAUUGCAAUAGAUUCAAGCCAAGCACAAUCUUACAACAGACUAUAAGCAACAGAACAGAUACUCCUUCAGCCCCGUCUGACAUGCAAGCGUUUGCUAAGAGGAUGGUGCGGACACUUACCCGGAUAGAGAAACACUGUAUGCCAAAUGUGCAGGUCGUGGACUUCGACCAAAUCCAGGGCCUGCUAGCUGAGGCGAUGCUGAGGGUAGACGGGCUUAGGGUCCCCUUCAGACGGAAGGGAGAAGAGGUAAAUGACGUUAAACAGAGGGUCGUUCAAGCUCUCAACUCUACCGAAUACAGCAAAAUACAAUGUGAUGUUGAAAUUAAAGUAGUAGAUUUGAAACAGGAGGAGUAGGUAAAUAACUUAAAGGCUGCUAAUGACGCCGCUAACGAGCGGGUGGCCAAGCUUGAGGAGGAUCUGAAGAUUGCCCAGUCGAAUCUCAAGGCCUUGGAGGGAGCUGACACGGAGAAUGCCCAGCUGAGAGCAGACGUCAGCCGCCUGGGUGUCGAGCUCGUCCAAGAAAGGAAUAAACACAAGGACGAGAUUGCCCAAGAGCAGAAGCGGCUGGUUGCAGAGAACGAACGGGAUACUGAGGCCCGGUUGCGCAAUACAUGGGGUUUGCUUCAUCCUAAGGUUGAGUUUGAUAUGCUUAAGCUUCGAUAUGAUUACGCCACUGAGGUGUAUGACGCACAACAGCUCAACGAAUAGGCCACGCCUCCCUUCAAGCCAUGGGCCUUUGAACAAGGCUAUGAGGUUUCUGAUGGCGAGGAAGAGCCAGCUGCCAACCCGUAUGAUCAGGUCCAGGCUAAUGAAGCUCAAGCUGAUCAAGUCCAGGAUGGUCAAGUGCUGGAUGCUCAAAACAAAACAAGCCUCCUAGCAGGUUAGAAGUAGCCGGAGCAGACCCAACAACCUUGAUUCAAAUUCCUCCUUUUUUUUUCAGCGGUAGUAUGCCAAUUAAUUUUUCCAGCCUGUGAGCCAAGUAGUUCUGUGUUUUUACCGACUAAGGAGUCGGGUAACAAUUUUACUUUCUUUUCUCCCAAAUGUAUAUCCGGUUAACAAUAUUAUCCGGUUCUAACCGGUUUUGAAUAAAAUUUGCCGACUGAGUCGACUUGAUAAAUUUGUUUUUUUUUUUGUUUCAGUUUUUGCAUUUAAAUUAUGCAAUUUUUAUUUUUGAAUUGUUGCCUAACUUUUUAGAGCAUGCGGCAAUUAGAAUAGUAUAUCGGCUACUUUUGCCCUUGGCGGCUGUGUGGUUGGUUUCAGUACUUCCUUGAUUGAUUGACUUUGGAAUGUUUAAUACUUUAAAGAAUAUGGAAUGUUCCUAAGUCAAUCAAUCAUAGUAGUUAUUUCCCCAAACCAAGUACACAACCGUUCAUAGCAGUCGUUUUACCCAAUUGGGGAGUAGGCUCAAUCAAAGCCUUAUUUCCCCUUUUGGGGUAUUCGUAUUUUAUAACUCUUUGUGAGCCAGGAGGGAGCUUGCCGCCUGACAGUUAAUGAAACAAGGAACAUAUUAUCCGUCUGUCUGAUGGGCCCAGACAUAUUAAAGGCCGUAUGGGGUGCCUGCAAUCCAUUGCACCUGGUUCGUCUGCACCAUUGGGGGUGACUGGUACAAUUUUGUUGAACUAUUUAACAAAGAACUUUAGUAAUUUACCAGCUGAUGUCACUUGACAUCCGGUUUUAAGCUUAGUCAUUCUUUUAGACUAUUUUGGUCAGACAGCUAUAAGUUGAUCAAUUUGGUCGUUCAAUCUUUUCCGUCUGCAUAUGCUAGAGUAGAGAAAAUGAUAGAAUGCCCUCUGCGAUGAUAACACCUGGAGGGGCGUCGCUGGACGCCAUACACAAAUAGGAGUAGACAAAUUUAUAAAUAAGUUUGCAUCCGGCCAUUGGCCUCGAUUUAAAUAUCAUUUUAACCCUAAGUUUUUAACUUAGCUUGCAUUAGGCCUUUGGCCUCUGAAAUUAAAUAUCAUUUUAGCCGCUAAGUUUUUAACUUAGCUUAGUUUUAUUCAUUGUAGGGGCCAUUUAUGCAUUGCACAAAUGAUGGUCCACCAUUCCGCAUGUAUACAUGUAUGUAAAGGAAGUAAUUAAAGCAAUUUGAAAACAAAAAACAACUUUUUCAUUGAUAGGCUUAUUAUUUACAAAAAUUUACAAGUCUUACAGUAAUACUUUUUCAAGUUAUCUACAUUCCAAGUCCUAGGCAGUCGCCUACCAUCUAGAGCUUCCAGACGGUAGGUGCGUCACUUCUUCGUAGAUCCGAUACGGGCCUUCCUAAUUAGGAGUUAGCUUUCCUUGCUCAUUGGUCCUACUGGUUGCCUCCAUCUUUCGCAACACAAAGUCCCCAACUUUUAAGGGUUGUUUCUGCACUCUCUUGUUGUAGGCACGAGUCAUUCUCAGACGGUAAAUCUCAUGACGCAAGGCGACAUUUCCCCUGCGCUCCGGGAGUGAGUCCAAUGCUAGGCGCAUGGCCUCCCAGUUUUCCUCUUCAUCGUAUAGCAUGACUCAUAGAGUCGACUCAUAAUGCUCGAUGAGCAAGACGACUUCAGCACCGUAA
Molecule: long non-coding RNA, 2614 nt
Organism: Chenopodium quinoa (quinoa)
Lineage: Eukaryota; Viridiplantae; Streptophyta; Magnoliopsida; Caryophyllales; Amaranthaceae
Exons: 3
Source: RefSeq, a predicted model, not a curated record